GAUGAACGCUGGCGGCGUGCCUAAUACAUGCAAGUCGAGCGAACGGACGAGAAGCUUGCUUUUCUGAUGUUAGCGGCGGACGGGUGAGUAACACGUGGAUAACCUACCUAUAAGACUGGGAUAACUUCGGGAAACCGGAGCUAAUACCGGAUAAUAUUUUGAACCGCAUGGUUCAAAAGUGAAAGACGGUCUUGCCGUCACUUAUAGAUGGAUCCGCGCUGCAUUAGCUAGUUGGUAAGGUAACGGCUUACCAAGGCAACGAUGCAUAGCCGACCUGAGAGGGUGAUCGGCCACACUGGAACUGAGACACGGUCCAGACUCCUACGGGAGGCAGCAGUAGGGAAUCUUCCGCAAUGGGCGAAAGCCUGACGGAGCAACGCCGCGUGAGUGAUGAAGGUCUUCGGAUCGUAAAACUCUGUUAUUAGGGAAGAACAUAUGUGUAAGUAACUGUGCACAUCUUGACGGUACCUAAUCAGAAAGCCACGGCUAACUACGUG
RNAcentral lists this ribosomal RNA (497 nucleotides) under uncultured bacterium. RNAcentral's name for it is "partial 16S ribosomal RNA". It matches the Rfam family "Bacterial small subunit ribosomal RNA", at positions 28 to 507 of the family's 1533-position model. The record is from RNAcentral.